Molecule: long non-coding RNA, 111 nt
Organism: Nanorana parkeri
Lineage: Eukaryota; Metazoa; Chordata; Amphibia; Anura; Dicroglossidae
Exons: 3
Source: RefSeq, a predicted model, not a curated record
AAAAGACAGAAAGUGAUAAAUUAAUCACAAGUCACAGAAAACAGCCAACUGCAGCCAUGCUCUAAGCUCCUUUCCUCUUAGGGGGUGUAAAAUGGAAAUGCAGCCCCGCCC